ACCACCCUGGGCAACAUGGUGAAAUGCCCAUGGACACCUCAGCAUCCCAAAGUGCUGGGAUUACAGGCAUGAGCCACUGGCCUGGCCCAGCCACUGCCUUUGAACUCAUAAAUUCACACUCCCAGCUUGCAGAGACGGGACGCGAUGGUUUAGGGUUUUAUGUGCAGAGUCACCUUUAUGAAUUCAUAAAGACUCUGACAACAUUCUUAUAAGCAAGUGGAGGAUCUCUCAGGCAAGGAAACUGCCCAGAGAGGUGAAGUAACCUACCUGAAGUCCCACAGCACUGUUCCAUAGGGGAUUGACAUUCUCACCAGGCCAUUCCCUGAGUGGGUCUGCAGGGGUUAACCGGGCUGGCUGGCGCCUGCCAAGCAGGAGGGGGGAUCUCGCAGAGAGUGAGGGUUGGGGAAUGGGCAGCCUUUCUGGGUCUCUGACUCCUCCUCAGGGGGCAGCUUGAGCCUCUGCCAGCCUCUUGUUGACUCAGCCGGCCUCUCUUCUGCCAAGGCCUGCUGGCCAGAGCUCCCACGGGGAGGGUCAGGCCACAUUCUUCUCUGGCUGGAGCCUGAGGGGUGGCUGGCACCUCCUGGUGGAGUCUGUGUGCUGGAGAGCUCAUCUGGUUUGUGGGCACUGGGACAGAUGCUGGGGUGAGGUAGGAAAUGUUUUUUGGGGGGGGUCAAGGAUGGCUUCCCAAAGGACCACCUCAGAGCUAAUGAAUUAGGCUGGGAACCGGGCGACUUGGCUGCAUGGAUCAGCUUCGUCUUUUUUUUUUUCUUUUUUUGAGACAGGGUCUUGCUCUAUUGCCCAGGCUGGAGUACAGUGGCAUGAACAUAGCUUACUGCAGCCUCGACCUCCUGGGCUCAAGCGAUUCUCCCACUUCAGCUUCCUGAGUAGCUAGGACCGCAGACACAUGACACCGUGCUUGGCUUGGCUAAUUUUUUUGUUUUUGGAGAUGGAGUCUCACUAUGUUGCCAAGGCUGGAGUGCAGUGGAGCGAUCUCAUCAAGCGAUUCUCCUGAUCGGCUAAAUUUUAAAUUUUUGUAGAGAAGUGGUCUUGCUAUGUUGCCCAGGCUGGUAUCAAACUCCUGGGCUCAAGUGAUCCUCCCGUCUCAGCCUCCCAAAAUUCUGGGAUUACAGGUAUGAGCCACUGCACCUGGCCAGCGUUGCCACGAAUGAGCUGGGUGAUCUUAGUGAGACACUUGAAUCAUCCUGUGCCCCACCUCAGUUUCCCCAUCCAUCAAAUGGGUAUAUGGAUAAAACACCCUGCCUGCCUUUCCCCACAGCUGUUGGGAGGAUCAAAGGCAAAAACAAGUUGGGCUGGAGGGAACGCCCUUUGUAGGGCAAAGGCCCACACGUGCAGGCUGGCCAGCCUGGCAUUCUUUUUUUUGAGACAGAAUCUCACUCUGUUGCCCAGGCUGGAGUGCAGUGGUGCAAUCUGAUCUCAGCUCACUGCAACCACCUCUUGGGUUCAAGCGGUUCUCCUGCUUCAUCCUCCCAAGAAGCUGGGACUAUAGGUGUGUGCCACCACGCCCAGCUAACUUUUUGUAUUUUUAGUAGAGACAGGGUUUCACCAUGUUCACCAGGAUGGUCUCGAUCUCUUGACCUUGUGAUCUGCCUGCCUCGGCCUCCCACAGUGCUGGGAUUACAGGCGUGAGCCACCGUGCCCGGCAACCUGGGGUUCUUUAGGGGAGCAAGUGAAGGGAAGGGGAUGCAGAGGCCGUUCUCAGCUGUGACCUGAUCUGCCCGACAUCCCUGCCUCUCCCCGCCUGACAUAGUGACACUGAUGACAAUAGCACCUCCUGCCAGGCGCACAGUCCUCGAAGGUUUACCAAGUCCUUCCAUUCCCAUGCCGGUCACCUGCUGCCUCAGGGCCUUCGUGCUGCCCUUCCUUCUGCAGAGGAUACUCUUCCCCAAGAUAAGUGAAAGGCUGUUUUCUGCUCAGCUCAAAUGUCCCCUCCUCAGAGGCCUACUGGACCAGGGACCUAAGUUGAAUUCUUGGCUAGGCAUGGUGGCUCACACCUGUAAUCCCAACACUUUGGGAGGCCAAGAGGGGUGGAUCAUCUGAGGUCAGGAAUUCGAGACUAGACUGGUCAACAUGGUGAAACCCCGUUGGUACUAAAAAUACAAAAAUUAGCCAGGUGUGGUGAUGUAUGCCUGUAAUUCCAGCUACUUGAGAGGUUGAGGUAGGAGAAUCUCUUGAACCUGGGAGGCAAAUGUUGCAGUGAACAGAGAUUGCACCAUUGCAUUCCAGCCUGGGCAAAAAGAAUGAAACUCCAUCUCAAAAAAACAAAACAAGCCAGGCGCGGUGGUUCACACCUGUAAUCCCAACACUUUGGGAGGCCAAGGCGGGUGGAUCAUCUGAGGUCAAGGAGUUCAAGACCAGCCUGGCCAAUAUGGUGAAACCUCGCCUCUACUAAAAAGUACAAAGAUAUUAGCCGGGUGUGGUGGUGCACACCUGUAAUCUCAGCUACUCAGGAGGCUGAGGCAGGAAAAUAGCUUGAACCCUCUAGGCAGAGGUUGCAGUGAGCCAAGAUUUCACCACUGCACUCCAGCCUGGUAUGACAGAGCGAGACUCCAUCUUAAAAGAAGAAAAAAACGAAAACAAAUUAAGUUCUCUCCCACCCCUGCCCCCCCAGUACCCUCCCUUCCGUGCUGUUCCUCUGUGUCUCUAGUGACUGCCAUGACCUUGCUCAGGGGACCGUCUUCCCCUAUGACAUUAAGCUCCGUGAGGGCAGGGAUGGUGACUGUCUGGCUCAUCGCGGUGUCUAGUGACAGACUGCAGCCUUCCGAGGUAACUGUCAUUGUCUUCCUUUGCAGAGAAGCUUAGAGAGACCUAAUGACUUGCCCAAGUCCGCACAGCUGAAGGGAUGGACCCAGGACUGGCCAGGCCUCUUAGAUUCCAGUCCGUGGCUCUUUCAAGAAAUGCCCUACAACUGCCACACCGGUGUCCUCUGCAGGCCCUACCUCCCUGGAAAACAGAGAGGGCGUCUUACCCCUUUGUCACCCCCCACGAAGUCCAGCCCGCACCUCCUCCUCACACAUAGUCGGCGCUGUGCACGUAUUUAUUUGGAGGUCACGGGAAGAAGGAGCUGCUGUAUCCAACACGCAAAGCCUGGCUGUGGCUGCCACCCUUGUGGGCCUCUGUGCCUUCACCAAGGGACUAAGGACUAAUGCCUCUGGCCCACAGUGGGGCAUUCCAGGGGCCUCCUCACCCCGCUCAGGCAGGCCGGCUGGCCCAGCAGCUGUGGGGUGGCCGGAUGCCCCACCCCUGGCGCCUUUGGGCCCCGAGCCCAGGCCGCAGGCUGAGCUGCUGACUGGCACUGCUCCUUAGGUUUGGGUCAGGAACACCGCAGGGAUUUUAAAAAUAAAGGGCCUUGAGACAGUGGCCUGGCCCAGGCAGCCAUGGGGCGGGGCGGGGGCCAGGCAGGGACGGUGGAGGAUUGCUGAGCCCACAGCAGGCAGCAAGGCCAAGGGGGCCUCCUUUUCUCCUCCCAAACAGUACUGCUCUUCCAGGAACACCUCCUCCCCAGCUAUUCUAAACAUGAGUCUCCAGUAUUUCCUGAGCACCUACUAUGUGCCAGGCCUCGGUGGCAGAGGGGUGGAUCCUCCAGAGGCUCUUCCCUGUAACUGCGUGGCUCUCCUCAGUGGGACCCCUCCCUUCUUACUCAACCUCAGGCCACGGACUAUUUAUUGAGCACCUACUGUGUGCCUUCACUCUCUGGUGGGCUCUUUCCCACUCUGCUCUCACUCCCUCGGGCACCUCCCCUGUUCAGCCCAUUUCAGUCCCCUUCUUUCUCAUCUGGCUCAGCUAACAGGAAACGCAGCUGCCGGGGAGGUCAACAGCCCCCGGCCUCCAGAGCCCAGCGCAGCACACACAGGGCCUGUCUACAUGGUGCAGCGGGGAGGGGGGGCUUCCUGUUUACGAGAGUCACAAGGACCCUCGGGUGGCGCUCGGACAGGCCUCCAGGGCAGCCCCUCUAGUCUAGAUCUAAUCUCUCCCUAGGAGGGGCCACCCAGCACCCCCACAGGCCCCAGGCGGCUAGUUCAGACCCAGGCCACUACCACCCGCCCCCACAACCUGGGGUGGUAGGGAAAAGAGGAGGAGCGAGGAGUCUUGGGAACAGCCUGGAAUGUGGGAGUUGAAGGUCCGCAGGAAGCAUCCCGGGCUCCAGGCCCCCCUCCAAGUCUGGAUGCCCCGCCCCAGUCCUCUCCUCCCAUCCCGGGGCCUCCCCAGCUCUGAUGGGGGCGGGGCUGACGGAGCCAGGAAGGAGGAGACCAGAUUCCUUCCCUUCCCGCUGGGGCAUGAGGCCGCAGCUCUGGCUUGACUGUGCUCUGGCGGACUCAGUCUCUCCAUUCCUAGGGCGGGGCGUGGAGCCAGCUCCCGGGUCAGCCCCCAUCUGCUGCUGCCUCCCUUUUCCCCCCACCCCUGCUGCCUCCACAAUCCCAGAGACUGGGACUAGCAGGGGAGGCCUCCACGGAGGGGUGGGGCUGGCCAAAGGUACCCAUGGGGAAACAAACAGUCCUGCCAACCCCCCGCUCCAGGCAGCCCCAGCCAAUCAGUCCCGUGGUUGCCCAACGGUAUUGACCGAGGGCCUGAGGGUCACGGCCACUGGGCCAGAAGAGGCCGGGCUGAGGGAGACCGCCCCGUUCCCCACCGCUCCCUCACCUAACCCCAAAGGAGAAAGCACCUGGCACCGGUGAGCACGCAAUUCCAGUUGGGAAGCAUUAUUAUUAAUGAGAAGUAGAGAAAGUUGGCUUUACCUCCAGGACGUGUCGACAGGUGGGCGGAAGGCGUUUCACCCGAAGGCUCUUCAAAGAACGACCUGAUACUCAGCCUCUAGGAUUCCCAGACUUGCCUGAUCCAAGAAACUCCCUGGGGCUGUGGUUCAAAACGUCAGCUUCUAGCUCAGUAACUGAGGCCACCAGAGGCCUGAACUGGCUGCACCUGCGGGACGAGGGCGCCACCGUGUGUCCAGCUUGGAGCAGUGUGGUUGCAGACUUGAGCCCAGCCCCUGCCCUGCUGACAGCCACUUACAGAACGCCUGCGCCCGCCAGUCACUCCACACACAUCGGUCCUCUUCCUCACGGCCGCAAGAUAAAGAGGGAAUUACUAUCCAGCUUUUCAGAUGAGGAGACUGAGCUCAGACCCUGCCAGGGUCACCCAGCCUCCAGCUGCCGCCUACUCCAAAGCCACACCCGGGACAUGCUGUGGACAGACAAAAACCAGACCUCUGCUUGGGUCUGGGUGUGAAUCUUCAGCCUUCUCAGGGUGUCCUGUUUCCUCUUCUGUAAAGUGGGGAUGGAAGCAACGACCUCCCCUGCCAGGUAGCUCCUUCCCCGUCUCUGGCCCCGAGAGAAACCUGUAGACCCCUGAGGAUUUGGCCAAGGAGUCCUGUGGGUCUUGCGGGAAUGAAUUUUGGGACACACAAUUCUGAGUACUUUCCAAACACUGGUCUUUUUGAAUGUUUUGUUGUUUUUCUCUAAGCAUUUACAUAUGUGUGAACUAUUUAGUGAUUUAAAAAAUAUGCUUACUGGGUUAAAACUUUAUGUAGGGCUGGGUGCAGUGGCUCACGCUUGUAAUCCCAACCCUUUGGGAGGCCAUGGUGGGUGGAUCACUUGAGUUCAGGAGUUCGAGACCAGCCAGGCCAGCAUGGUGAAACCAUCUAUACUAAAAGUACAAAAAUUAGCCAGGCAUGGUGAGGCAUGCCAGUAAUUCCAGCUACUCAGGAGCCUAAGGCAGGAGAAUCGCUUGAACCUGGGAAGCAGAGGUUGCAGUGAGCUGAGAUCGCGACACUGUACUCCAGCCCGGGCAACAGAGUGAGACUCUGUCUCAAAAAACAAAACAAAAUGAAACUAAUUUUAUGUAGUCCUCAGUUCCCCUCUAAAAGACGACAGCUGGCUGAGCGCAGUGGCUCACGCCUGUAAUCCCAGCACUUUGGGGAAGCCAAGGCAGGUGGUUCACUUGAGGCCAGGUCUUUGAGACCAGCCUAGGCAACAUGGUGAGACCCUGCCUCUAUUAAAAAAAAAAAAAAAGGCCGGGUGCGGUGGCUCAUGCCUAUAAUCCCAGCACUUUGGGAGGCCGAGGUGGGUGGGUCACGAGGUCAAGAGAUUGAGACCAUCCUGGUCAACAAGGUGAAACCCUGUCUCUACUAAAAAAAUACAAAAAAUUAGCUGGGCAUGGUGGUGCGUGCCUGUAAUCCCAGCUACUCAGGAGGCCGAGGCAGGAGAAUUGCCUGAACCCAGGAGGUGGAGGUUGCGGUGAGCCGAGAUCGCGCCAUUGCACUCCAGCCUGGGUAACAAGAGCGAAACUCCGUCUCAAAAAAAAAAAAAAAGUAAUAAAAUAAAUGAAAACCAAGAGCGAAUGGCAGUUUCCUCCAUAUUCAUUCUCCCAGAGAUGAUCUGGGAUGAUUUAUAUAUGUACGUGUACGUAUGUAUGUAUAAGUAUUAUAUGCAGAUACAGAUACCACACACAUGGUCCCCUUCUUUUCUAAAACAAUGGUGGCAGACGACAUAUGCUUCUGUACUUUCUUUUGCCACCUAAUGACAUUUUUUACAUUUAUUUUGCAUAUGAUUCCAUACAGUUGACCUUUGCGGGUCGUGUUAGUUUGGGCUGCCUUUACAAACCGCAGGGCUGAAACAGCAGAGAUGGAUUUCCUCACAGUCUGGAGGUUGGAAGUUCAAGACCGAGGUAUGGCGUCUCUCCUUGGCUUUCAGACGGCCACCUUCCUGUCAUCGUUCCUCUGUACACUUCUGUGUCCAAAUCUCCUCUUCCUAUGAGAAGCAAGGGUGCAGUGUUGAUCGAUAGUAUAGAUAUGAAGUAAGUGUACACAGAGUGAGCUCGGCAUGUAGCCAGCAGCCAAAUAAAGACCUAAAGCAUACUGGGUUAGGAUUUGUCCUAAAGACCUCAUUUUAACUUUUUUUUGAGACAGGAUGUCACUCUGUUGCCCUGGCUGGGGUGCAGUGGUGAGAUCUUGGCUCACUGUAACCUCUGCCUCCCGGGUUCAAGUGAUUCUCCUGCCUCAGCCUCCUGAGUAGCUGGGAUUCCAGGCAUGCACCACCACGCCCAGCUAAUUUUUGUAUUUUUAGUAGAGACCAGGUUUCACCUGUUGCCCAGGCUGGUCUCAAACUCCUGUCCUCAAGUGCUCUCUCAGCCUCCCACAGUGCUGGGAUUACAGGUGUGAGCCGCUGCACCCAUCCUUUCAUUUCAACUUAGUCACCUGUUUAUGUUUUGUUUUUGUUUUUAGAGACAGUCUCGCUCUGUUGCUCUGGCUGGAGUGCAGUGGCACAAUCACGGCUCACUGUAGUCUUGACCUCCUGGGCGCAAGCCAUCCUCCUGCCUCAGCCUCCAGGUUAGCUGGACAUACCACCACCACACCUGGUUAAUUUGUACUGGGGGGGGGGUCUCACUAUGGUGCCAGGCUGGCUUGAACUCCUGGGCUCAAGCCAUCCUUAUACCUCAGCCUCCCAAAGUGCUAGGGUUACACUGCCAACCUUUGUUUUUUUUUGAGGCACAGCCUUGCUCAUUCGCCCAGGCUAGGGUGGAAUGGCUCAAUAUCAGCUCACUGCAACCUCCGCCUCCUGGGUUCCAGCAAUUCUCCUGCCUCAGCCUCCUGAGUAACUGGGAUUACAGGCAUGCACCAACACACCCAGCUAAUUUUUGUGUUUUUAGUAGAUAUGGGGUUUUGCCAUGUGGGCCAGUUAAAGACCAUGAGGUCUUUAACUCCUGACCUCAGACGAUCCACCCACCUUGACCUCCCAAAGUGCUAGGGUUACAGGCAUGAGCCACAGCGCCCAGCUUCCCUAGUCUUCAGUCACUUCUUUAAAGACCUUAUCUCCAAAUACGGUCACGUCCUGAGAUACUGGUGGUUGGGACUUCAACAUACGGAUUUUUGGGGAACACGUCAGUCAGCCCAUGGCAGAGAAGCAGGGGUACAAUUUUGAUGGAAAUGUUACAUAUAUGAAAUAAGCGUAUACAGCAUGAGCACGCCAUGUAGCCAGCAACCAGAUAAAGACACGCAAGGCAGCCAGCCCCCAUGGACCCCUGCAAGCCCGCUUUCAACAGUUCCUCCCAUAAGGAAGGCCUGUCCUGACCUGGAAGACUUUGACCUGGUUUUGUCCUCUGCGUAAGUGGAAUCCUGUCCUCUUUUCUGUCUUCCUUCACUCAACAUGAUGUUCAUGAAAUUCAUCCACGAUGUCUGCAGUUUUACAUUUCUUAUUUAUUUGCACGUAGCACUCCACUGUGUGACUAUACCAUACCGCUUUUUUUUUUUUAGAUGGGGUCUUGCUCUGUUGCCCAGGCUUGAGUGCCAUGGUGUGAUUGUGGCUCACUGCAACCUCCCCUUCUCAGAUUCAGACGGUUCUCAUGCUCAUUGUGGCCUUGACCUCCUGGGCUUGAGUGAUCCCCUUCGGUAGCUGGGACUGCAGGCAUGUGCCACCAUGCCUGGCUAAUCUUUAAAUUAGUUUUUGUAGAGACUGGGUCUCACUAUGUUGUCCAGGCUGGUCUUGACCUCCCAAAGUGUUGAGAUUACAAGUGUGAGCCGCCAUGUCCAGUUAUGUAUGUAUUUAGAUCCUAUUUAAUUUCCCACAGUAAUGUCAUUUUAUUAAUUAAAAAAAUUGAUAUAACUCACAUACAAGAAAA
Long non-coding RNA from Callithrix jacchus (white-tufted-ear marmoset), 8631 nucleotides. RefSeq lists it as uncharacterized. The record is from RefSeq and is a predicted model, not a curated record. NCBI's taxonomy places the organism in Eukaryota, Metazoa, Chordata, Mammalia, Primates, Cebidae.